AACGAACGCUGGCGGCAUGCCUAACACAUGCAAGUCGAACGAGACCUUCGGGUCUAGUGGCGCACGGGUGCGUAACGCGUGGGAACCUGCCCUUAGGUUCGGAAUAACUCCCCGAAAGGGGUGCUAAUACCGGAUAAUGUCUUCGGACCAAAGAUUUAUCGCCUUUGGACGGGCCCGCGUUGGAUUAGCUAGUUGGUAGGGUAAAAGCCUACCAAGGCGACGAUCCAUAGCUGGUCUGAGAGGAUGAUCAGCCACACUGGGACUGAGACACGGCCCAGACUCCUACGGGAGGCAGCAGUGGGGAAUAUUGGUCAAUGGGCGAAAGCCUGAUCCAGCAAUGCCGCGUGAGUGAUGAAGGCCUUAGGGUUGUAAAGCUCUUUUACCCGGGAUGAUAAUGACAGUACCGGGAGAAUAAGCUCCGGCUAACUCCGUG
RNAcentral lists this ribosomal RNA (433 nucleotides) under uncultured bacterium. RNAcentral describes it as "partial 16S ribosomal RNA". It matches the Rfam family "Bacterial small subunit ribosomal RNA", at positions 29 to 507 of the family's 1533-position model. The record is from RNAcentral.